RNAcentral lists this ribosomal RNA (253 nucleotides) under uncultured bacterium. RNAcentral's name for it is "partial 16S ribosomal RNA". It matches the Rfam family "Bacterial small subunit ribosomal RNA", at positions 524 to 776 of the family's 1533-position model. The record is from RNAcentral.
UACGGAGGGUGCAAGCGUUGUUCGGAAUUACUGGGCGUAAAGGGCGCGUAGGCGGCUCUUUAAGUCAGAUGUGAAAGUCCACGGCUCAACCGUGGAAGUGCAUUUGAUACUGAGGAGCUUGAGUACUGGAGGGGAUGGUGGAAUUCCCGGUGUAGAGGUGAAAUUCGUAGAUAUCGGGAGGAAUACCGGUGGCGAAGGCGACCAUCUGGCCAGAUACUGACGCUGAGGCGCGAAAGCGUGGGGAGCAAACAGG